Molecule: ribosomal RNA, 1459 nt
Filed under: marine metagenome
Description: bacterial LSU rRNA
Rfam family: Bacterial large subunit ribosomal RNA
Source: RNAcentral
AAGUGUCGGAUUACUUGGUUCAAGCAUGUAGAAGUAAGGAAUAGGCAAAUCCGUUCCUUUUUAACUUCGAGACGUGAGUUACGAGAGACCUAGUCUCAUAAAGUGAUUGAUUCCAUGCUUCCUAGAAAAACCUCUAAAUGUUGAACAAUAGGUGCUCGUACUGUAAACGGACACACGUACGCGGGUAGAGUAUACCAAGGUGUUUGAGAUAAUUAUGGCUAAGGAACUCGGCAAAAUAGCUCCGUAACUUCGGAAGAAGGAGUGCCUAUAUUAGGUGAAAGCUCUUGCAGCUGGAGCCGAAAUAGGUGGCACUGAAAUGGUGGAAGCGACUGUUUACCAAAAACACAGGCCUGUGCUAACCCGCAAGGGGAUGUAUACGGGCUGACGCCUGCCCGGUGCUGGACGGUUAAGGGGAUGGGUUAUCCUUCGGGAGAAGCUUAGAACUGAAGCCCAGGUAAACGGCGGCCGUAACUAUAACGGUCCUAAGGUAGCGAAAUUCCUUGUCGUCUAAUUAGCGACCCGCAUGAAUGGCGUAACGACUUCUAUGCUGUCUCGGCCAUAAUCUCAGCGAAAUUGUAGUGCUGGUGAAGAUGCCAGCUUCCCGUUGUGGGACGGAAAGACCCCGUGCACCUUUACUAUAACCUAGCACUGGAUUUUGAUGAUAAAUGCGUAGGAUAGGUGGGAGACUUUGAAGAUUCGAUUUCGGUUGGAUCUGAGUCGUUGGUGAAAUACCACCCUUUUACUGUUAGAAUCCUAACUGUAAUCCGUUAUCCGGAUUAAGGACAAUGUUAGGCGGGUAGUUUGACUGGGGCGGUUGACUCCUAAAGAGUAACGGAGUCGCUCAAAGGUUCUCUCAGCCUGAUUGGAAACCAGGCGUCGAGUGUAAUGGCACAAGAGAGCUUGACUGUGAGAUCGACAGAUCGAGCAGGUACGAAAGUAGGACAUAGUGACCCGGUGCCUCCAUGUGGGAGGGGCAUCGAUCAUCGGAUAAAAGGUACGCCGGGGAUAACAGAUUAAUCGCGCCCAAGAGUUCACAUCGACGGCGCGGAUUGAUACCUCGAUGUCGGCUCAUCGCAUCCUGGGGCUGAAGAAGGUCCCAAGGGUUAGGCUGUUCGCCUAUUAAAGCGGUACGCGAGCUGGGUUCAGAACGUCGUGAGACAGUUCGGUCCCUAUCUACAACGGGCGAAGGAAAAUUGAGAGGGCUUGCUCCUAGUACGAGAGGACCGGAGUGAACAAACCUCUAGUGUAUGAGUUGUUGUGCCAACAGCAGUGCUCAGUAGCUACGUUUGGAAAGGAUAACCGCUGAAAGCAUCUUAAGUGGGAAGCCUGCCUCAAGAUUAAUUUUCCCGAACCAUUAGGUUCCUAAAGAUCACUCGAAGACUACGAGUUUGAUAGGCACAGAGUGUAAGUCCUGUAAGGGAUUCAGCUAAUGUGUACUAAUCGAUCGUGAGCCUUUACU